CCCUUUUUUUGGGGGGUGCUUAUUCACUUGAAACUGUUCUAAUACGCAGAACUUGAAAGUCCCCACCCACUGAGUGAUCUCUCUUCCUCAGAGUACGCAGAAGUUCAAGAGAAAGUGUCUCAGAUUAUCAACCAAGAGUCAUUAAUGGAAAGUACAGGUUUCAAACAUAAGCUGGAAAACUUGGAAGACAAAGGUGGGCCGUCUGGACUGUCUCUUGCUAGGGUCACAGAUUCCAAGUGACUCUCUCCAGGGCUGCUGACCAGGACGUGCACACAGGACUCGGUCUCCUCUCUCCAUUGGCUAUGACUAGUGUCUGUGCCAGCAGAUGACCUGCUUCACCCUGCG
This 345-nucleotide long non-coding RNA is filed under the name Chinchilla lanigera (long-tailed chinchilla). RNAcentral's name for it is "lncRNA (ENSCLAG00000026165.1)". Lineage: Eukaryota; Metazoa; Chordata; Mammalia; Rodentia; Chinchillidae. The record is from RNAcentral.